Molecule: ribosomal RNA, 151 nt
Filed under: uncultured bacterium
Lineage: Bacteria
Description: partial 16S ribosomal RNA
Rfam family: Bacterial small subunit ribosomal RNA
Source: RNAcentral
GGGGAAUAUUGCACAAUGGAGGAAACUCUGAUGCAGCAACGCCGCGUGGAGGAUGACGCAUUUCGGUGUGUAAACUCCUUUUAUAUAGGAAGAUAAUGACGGUACUAUAUGAAUAAGCACCGGCUAACUCCGUGCCAGCACCGCGGUAAUA